This is a long non-coding RNA of Salmo salar (Atlantic salmon), 1358 nucleotides long. RefSeq lists it as uncharacterized. The record is from RefSeq and is a predicted model, not a curated record. Lineage: Eukaryota; Metazoa; Chordata; Actinopteri; Salmoniformes; Salmonidae.
GAAAUCAGAUUCACUUUCUACACAGAGACCUCUACAACACAGAGAUCAAGCCAUGGAGCCUACAAUCACUUCAGCUAUAAUCUACUCUAAGGAGCACCUGAAUCUGACCAAUAAACUAAGAAAGCCAGUGGUGGAAAAGUUACGCAGAGAUUGUAUCAACAGCAGCAUUGAGCAGCUCAAGUCUCUCCUUGGUCCAGAGAUCCUCAACCAGCAGUCUGACUCCAAGCUGGAGAAAGCUGACAUCCUGGAGAUGAGAGUUUUCUUCCUGAGAUGACAGUACCCGCCAGUGAGCUCAUCAUCCUGCUCAGCACGAGCCAAUUAGGGUUACUCCUUCUCUGUGUCCCAGUGUAGACUGCUGAGUCACUUCCAGAUACUAAGAAGAGAAGGGAGAGUGACCUGCCACAGAUGAGCUCCCCAGACAAACACAAUGGACCAUGUUGGUCUUAGAUUAAUGUCAUGGACAGUAACGCGAAUAGGAAGACAUCUUCUUCAUCUUCUGCUUAUGUCGAUUUUUUUAAGUACAGCUGUGAUUGAGACUUUUAAAUUCAGUUGUACUGGACAAGUUGACAUGUUUUUCGAAAGAAAUGAUCCAAUUGAUGAGCACUACAUUUUUGUAAUAUAUUUUAAACAUGUGUUGAUUACAAUAAUCAACAAUAACUUGAAUAUCCCUCCAUGAGGACUUUUAUCCCAAAAUGGGUGUUAUAUCACCAAUCUGUCUGUGAAUGUUUAUGACUUAUAUUUUUUAAGGGGAACGUAUAAGAGAGAAAAAACAUGUUUGCUUUGUUGCCAAUACAUUUGUGUAGUGAUAUGGUCAUAUUGACGUUAUAUUGCGCAUCUUCUGUAAAAAAAAAAACAUGUGUACUAGUCCUGUAUUACCGGACCGAUAAAGCCGUCUGUAGCGCGAGGAAAAUAAAUAAAUCAGCGCCCACCCCUCAAACAGCUAUCUGUAUCAGUUAUCUAUUUCAUAUUGAUCAACUUGAGCUGCAGCAUCACUAUUCCUCCAUGACACAUUUUUACCCAAACUGGGUAUUACACAGUACCUGUUAUCAUCACUCUGUGAUUAUCGAUAUUUGAUCUGUUUUAAGAUCAGACUUAAUGUGUGAACACUUUGUGUGAAAAUGAGGCUCACAUGAUUUGAAUAAUAUGCACGUUGCAGAUGGUGAAAACUUCACGCUCAUUGUAAAACCUUGUGUUUAUUUUGGUACAAUAUGUUGUCUUUUAUAAAGACAGUAACUGUAUAUCCUUUGUCUUGUUGUUUAAUCACUUUAUUUAUAUUUAAAUAUGUACCUUAAAUUAAGGUAUUUAAUGAUAUGAAUUACUGAGUCAAUCUGAAUAAAUACACAAAUCAUUAAAUUAAA